UACGUAGGGGGCAAGCGUUGUCCGGAUUUAUUGGGCGUAAAGAGCGUGUAGGCGGCCAGGUAGGUCUGCUGUGAAAACUCGAGGCUCAACCUCGAGAUGUCGGCGGAAACCAUCUGGCUAGAGUCCGGAAGAGGAAAGUGGAAUUCCCGGUGUAGCGGUGAAAUGCGCAGAUAUCGGAGAGACACCGUGGCGAAGGCGGGCUUCUGGGCGUAACUGACGCUGAGAGCGACGAAGCUGGGGAGCGAACAGG
This 250-nucleotide ribosomal RNA is filed under the name uncultured bacterium. RNAcentral describes it as "partial 16S ribosomal RNA". It matches the Rfam family "Bacterial small subunit ribosomal RNA", at positions 524 to 776 of the family's 1533-position model. The record is from RNAcentral.